UUUUUUAACAUUAGCUCAAAUCCAAUUCAAAUGUCCAUUACAUUUUAGAACACAAAAAUCAGAAUUUCAAAUGCCGUGAAAUUGUGAAUACGGACAAUCCCCUUCUCGGCAUUCCCAUUCCAAAAUGCAAACCCUUUUAGCUUUUCUCUUGUUCUCUUAAAUUCCGUCAUGCCUGUGGAGUGAAUCACAUUCCGUCCGAUUGUCGAUUGGGAUCCAAUUCUCUGGUGGUCUCACCCACUUGGAUUGGGUAUUUUUUUGAAUUUUUCAGAAUUUUUGUUUACUCCAUGAGUUUAUAAAUCAAAGCAAUAUAUGGGACGAAUUUAUAUUUUAAGUUGAACCGAUUUUGGUUGGUUUAUUAUUAUUAGCUAUAGUUUAAAAUCUAGCUAGUUUACUUUUGAGUCUUUUGUUUUGUUUUUAAGUUUCUGUGCCGAGAGUAAAAUGGCCAUAGAUAAUUAGUUUUGGCUGAUUUCAAAUAGACAAGUUUUUGGCCAAAAAAUUUCACUGUAGCGGAUGACUAAAAUUGUGCCCGCACUCGACACGGUCUCUGGCUCCGCCCCUGCAUCUUACCCUACUCAGAAUAGUGUUUUUGUAUUAAUAUUUGUUUGCAAACACAACUCUCUUCCCUCGUCGUUUCUCUUCUUUUUAAACUUACCAAGCAUGUACUAACUACACUUCUAUCACUUCCCACUCUCUUCUCUUCACCGAUGAAAAAAAUCCCAGGAAUUAACACAUUUUCAUCAACCAACAUAUGUGUAGGGACAGUAGUUCAGACUAGAAUGAAUCAAACAAACAAGAAGUUCAGUUCGGUUCAAACCCAGAAAUCGUAAUGGAAUGUUUGGUUUAAAUCGAAUUCACUGCACUGCAUCUAGAACUAUUCAUUCAAAAUUUAUCACUAAUUGAAAAGGCUAAGCAAUGGACACUUUAGCACCUGCCUCUUCGAGCUGCUUUUUCGCUUCCUCAGCUUCAUCUUUCGACGCACCCUCCUUAAAUUUCUUUGGCAAUCCCUCAAUCAAUUCUUUGGCUUCCUUCAAUGCCAAAUUAGUCAAAGCCCUAACUGCUUUAAUAGUAGCAAUUCUCGCAUUGCUCGGUACCUCCUCUAUAACCACGUCGAACUCCGUCUUCUCCUCCGCUACAACGGGAGCCUCCGCCACUCCCGAGCCGCCGGGAGCGGCGACCGCGGCUACGGGAGCGAAGGAAGCAGCAGAAACACCGAGCUUGUCCUGGAGGUACUCGACGAGUUUCUGCGCAUCAGCAAGGGUCAGGUUCGAGAUCUGGUCACCGAGCUCGACAACCUUCUCCGGGGCUUCUACGGCGGAGAGGGGGCGAAGAAAGGUUGCGCGGUUCCGACAGCGGGAAUUGGCGUUGGUUUUUUGAGGGAAUUCAAUGGAUUGUUUUGGAAAUGUGGCUGAAGGAUGCGCAGGAUAAGCGGCAUAGGGCGCAGGAUAAGUGGAUGGACGGAUGAUAAUUGAGGAUAAUGUAGAAGCCAUUGUUGAAUUUAGUGAAACAGGGUGGGAGUGUAUAGGAAGAUAGGAUACGGAGGUAAGUUUGGUAGAAUGUGUGAACGAGUAUUCAAGGCAAUUUUAAAUUCCAAUUUAGGGUAAAUUUCUUAUUUGGUCACUAAAGGUUCAAAGAAAAUUCAAUUAGCUUUUCGAAAUUUAAUUUAUCUCAAAUUGGUCACUAAACUUCACUUUUAUUUCACAUUGGAUCAUAAACUUUAGCUUAGUUUCAAAUUUCAUCACUUCAUCACAUGUCGUCAUUCAGAUGAUGAAAAUUGGCUUUUUGCACAAAUAGUCUCUAUCUUGCACUUGUUUAUAGAUUGAGGACGUAUCAUUUCAAUUUUGACAUUUGAAAUCCUAUUUCUGUCAGUUACUAUUGUUCAAUUUCUCCAUUAAAGGCACAUAGGUUUUUUUAA
RNAcentral lists this long non-coding RNA (1912 nucleotides) under Olea europaea (common olive). RNAcentral's name for it is "long non-coding RNA (OEUR_LNC014815)". The record is from RNAcentral. Lineage: Eukaryota; Viridiplantae; Streptophyta; Magnoliopsida; Lamiales; Oleaceae.